RNAcentral lists this non-coding RNA (148 nucleotides) under Gorilla gorilla gorilla (western lowland gorilla). The record is from Rfam by way of RNAcentral. Lineage: Eukaryota; Metazoa; Chordata; Mammalia; Primates; Hominidae.
GCCAGGCAUGGUGGUGCAUGCCUGUAGUCCCAGCUACUCAGGAGGCUGAGGCAGGAGAAUUGCUUGAACCCAGGAGGCGGAGAUUGCAGUGAGCCGAGAUCGCGCCACUGCACUCCAGCCUGGGUGACAGAGCGAGACUCCGUCUCAA